Molecule: ribosomal RNA, 252 nt
Filed under: Triticum aestivum (bread wheat)
Lineage: Eukaryota; Viridiplantae; Streptophyta; Magnoliopsida; Poales; Poaceae
Description: partial small subunit ribosomal RNA
Source: RNAcentral
GAGGUGGUUGAGACAAUGCAAGGCGGAGGACAGUCAGCGGGAGCGGCAGCGGCAAUUUUCGAUGACUGCUAUCACUAUGCUUGUGAUUUUAUCAUGACUAAAUUCGAACAUUGUAAUAGAGAGGCAAAUAAAGUAGCACAUGAACUUGCUAGAUUAGCUAGAUUUUUUUCGACUUCGGUUUGGUUUGAGGAGCCUAUUAGUGAAAUUGUAACACUUCUCACAAACGAUGUAUUGGUUAUUGCUAAUGAAUAA